UCCGAAUUGGUGUAGGGGUUAACAUUGCCGCCUCUCAGAUUACGUAAGCAAGGGUAAUAAUGCAAAACGCGGCAGCCCGGGGUUCGAUUCCCCGAUUCGGAA
Mycena capillaripes is the source of this 102-nucleotide non-coding RNA. NCBI's taxonomy places the organism in Eukaryota, Fungi, Basidiomycota, Agaricomycetes, Agaricales, Mycenaceae. The record is from the annotation of a GenBank genome assembly.